Molecule: unclassified non-coding RNA, 748 nt
Filed under: Hevea brasiliensis (rubber tree)
Lineage: Eukaryota; Viridiplantae; Streptophyta; Magnoliopsida; Malpighiales; Euphorbiaceae
Source: RNAcentral
GGGGGUUCCAGAAGAAUACUGAUGCUUCGGAAGAGAUUUUCAUCAUUUUCUCCACCUUCAGCCUCUCCAUAAAUAAGAGCUUCAGCUGCAAUCCCAGCAAAUAGAACCAUGCAGUACCUGUCAAAUGUGGUACCACUUAACUGGCCUACAGCAAGCUCAUUUUCAAGUUUUUCAUCCCAAAACUGUGUUCCUGCCUGUCCUUGAAUGCCCAUCUGCAUUGCAACAAUUGGGUCUAAAAUUACACCACGGAUUGGACAACCCAUUAAGUAUGCAACAAGGAGAUGGCCUGCUUCAUGAACACAAAUUCGACGCUUGUAGGGAGGCCAGAAGCUGGAGAUUUGUGCUAAGCAGGAACCACCAAGUAAUAUAGCAUCUAGCAUGGCAAGCCCCAAAACUGCAGCAAUGUUAGGCCUAAUAUCUAUUCCUUGGUUCAGCAGAAACGUGACUCCAGCAAAGGAUGUUGCCAAAAGAAAGCUAGAUGUUCCAGAAAGACCCCACUUCUUUGGCGAAAGUUUGGUCACAUCUAAACCAGUUGAAUACUUUAAGACAGUUGGUGUGACAUCGCGUGGCCCUUCCAAAACAAUAGCGUUGUAUCUGGCGAAAUUAGGCAAGAGACCUUUGUCCUUGAGAAAAGCAUAAGCACUUCCAACAAGCCUCAAAUCAUCGGCAUUCAAGCAUGUAUCUAAAACCUGCCACUCUCUAUCGAUUGGGGACAAAUCCGACUUACCGAUUGACGAGUCUUCUCUCA